UAUUUUUUAUUUUUUUAGCUAAAUGCAGGAGCGCCAAAGUUUGGCGCCUGAAAUUUGGCAAGAGGAAAAUGAGAUUUAUUUCGUAUUGGGAUGCUAAAUUGAGAUAGAUACCUCAUUCUUUUACAUUAAUUCUCUCAUUUCCUCUACUCUCUCAUAAGGACGCUCCCUUCCAUGGCAUCAUCUGGUCAUGUUAGCGGCCACAUCAGAUCGUUCUUUCUUCUCGAUCUUCGCUGGUAAGUGUUCUCCCUCUUCCAUCAUUCACUCUCACUCUCGCCAUGGCUCCUUCACAAACUCGUUUGUCUAUUAACAUGGCCGAUGUUGAUUGUUGAGUAAGGACUUGAAGAUCAGCAAUUGACCAAAAUUGCAAAACUCUACAGGUAAAUGUUUCUCUCUUAUCUUUCAUCUCAAAAUAUUGGCGGAAUAUUUAUCUCCGUAUGUGGAUAAGUAAUUGUGAUGAAAAAUCAGUUGGGGAUUUUGGGAUUUGAGGAUUUUACUAAAUUAAUUUGAUGCAAUUUAUUGAUUUUCUUGAGGCCCUAGGUUUAAUUAGAGUUCUAUUAUGUUUUAUGUUUGUGAAUUAAUGAAAAAGGCUUCGUGAUUUAAAGGAGAGGAAGAGGAGACGUUGAAGAUAUGGGUUAUAAAGACUAUUACUGAGAUAAUGAAGCUCAGAAAUGUGCACUCAAGGUGCUUGUAAAAUCGUCUGAACCAAAUCUCCAGCUUUUCUACUAGAAUUUUUUGAAGUAAAAUGCCCCCAAAUCGUGCUAGGACCAAACCAGGGCAGUGUUAAGCCCUUCCCCUUCCUCCUCCUCACCAUGAUCCUACUUUUUUCAUGCCAUUGACAAUUAUUUCCAGUGGAAUGGUUUGGAUUUAAAUAUACAUGCACACAAAUCACAAAUAUACAUGAACAUAUAUAGAAGUACAAGUAAUCAUUGGUUCCUCUUUCCUUUCUUCCAUUUGACUGAGUUGUUAAAUUUUAAUUAAUUGAGUUCAAAUUAUUGUUCAUAUUUAUUGGCAUAUACUUUGUAGAUACUAAUGUCUAUAGCACUUGUCUGUAUACUUUGUUGAUCCAAUCUCUGAAUUUUCCAUAACUGAUAGCCGUAAGUACCUAUUCUAUAACUACUUCUCUCUCUCUCUCUCUCUCUCUCAAUCUCUGUCUCUCUCUAUAGUCUAUAAAUUAUAUAUUUAUAUGUCAGAAACCAAUUGAAGGAUUAUUGGGUGAAUUUGUAGAUGAAGCGUGUGAAGAGAUACUGAUUGUUCCCCUCUUUAUCCCUACUUAUUUAUUAUCAAGUUGAUACUUCCUUUUUUCUAUGCAAAACAAUUUAAUAUAAGGUAAAGAUAAAACCAAUUCCUUGUUUAUUAUCAUAGUGGGUUGACUAACUUGUUUAUAAUCAUGUGUAUGCUUGCUGAAGCAGAAGUUUGUUAUCAUGUCUAUCUAGAUUGUCACUUAAUCUCUGUAGAGGCAGCUAUUGUGAUGUAAUAGCUAGCAUGCUGGGUGGAGGAAAGAUCAUCAAACCCCGCCAAAUGGGUACCAAGAAUUCUUCUUCCAAAAGAAAAACCUUCAAGAUCCCCUCUGAGGUAUCUCUCUUUGUAUUAUCUCCUCUCUCUCUCUCUCUAUAUAUAUAUAUAUAUAUGUCAUAAUUCUUAAUUUUUUCUAGGGUUUUAUUUCCCCUUUCAUUCGCUAGUUCUAAGGUCUAAUUUAUUGAAUUUGCACUCAGAUACUGUUGCGAAUCAAGUUACCUUACCCAAUUAUUAAUUGAUACCCAAUUAUUAAUUGAUACAUGAAUCUGUUGAUGAGCAAUCAUAGGAAAACAAAAGAAAAUUUUGAAAUACAUGUUCAGUCGAACUAAGUCACAAUUAUUUAAUUUCAUAUUUUUGUUCUAUGGGUAUCCCAGAUUAUUGAAAUCUUCCUAUUCAGAAAUUUAGGGCCUGUUUGGUUUAGCUUUUUGGGAAUAGUUUUAAGAGCACUUGAAAACAGAAUAAAGUUCGAAAAUAAUAUUCAUUUUGGUUGUCGUUUAUCUCAAAAACUAUCUGUGAAACUGAGUUAAAAAAUGUACGAUAUAGACAACUUUCUUUUCUAGUUCUCUUAAAAUGGUUCGCUGUUUUUGAAGUCUUGGAAACUGUUAUCAAAGUACUAAACCAUUUUUGACAGCAUGUUAAUAUUAACUUCAAAAAUCCAUAUUAAUUUCAAAAUUCAAUCAAUUUAAGCCAAACAAAAUCAUGUAAACUCAUUAACAAUUAUACUUUCAUAUCCAAAACUUAAUUUAAAAGAUAACAGUUCUAAGUAUAGAGAUUUCAGUUCUAAAAUCAGCAUUUUUGGUUUCAUUUUCCAACAUUACUCUUCAUUUAAAUUCUAACAAUUCUUUAACUAAUUUAAUGCAAAUAUGAAACCAAAACAAGGCAAUAAAAAUUAGUAAUUGUAUUUAUUCAUUGUUUGUUUUGCAAAUUUUUGGAUGGGCUUAUGCUACAAGACUUCAAACUCUUUUUGUUUAAGAUGGUUUUAAGUAGUGCAUGUCCAGGUCUUUGAACCCUUUAUUUAGGAAUCUAUAGCUCAUUUUUGUCUAAGAUCUUGAAACAUUUUAUUUAAGAUACUAGCUUGUUUUGGUCCAAAUUAUUGGAGUUGAAAUUGUUUUAGAUGCGAAGACUCAUUUUUUAAAUGCUUUAUUAUGUAUAUUAUUAACAAUACAUUUUUUUGUUGGGUAACUUACGCAAUAUCACGUAUUUAUUUGUUUGCCUAAUCGUGUUGAUGUGAUAAUUUUUUUUAUUUUUUAUUUUUAUAUAUAUUAUUUCUUAUGUUUAUAAUGUUAAUAAUUUAUAGAUUUGCUACAAAUUCUUAUCGUGCCACAAUAAAUAUGUGGCAUAUUUUUGGUGUUUACCACAAUAUAUAUUUUUGGUUAUUAAAUUAAAUUUUAUUUUAUUAAUAAUAGAAUAGCCAAGGAUAAACUCCGUGGCCUUUUUGGAUAUUUGUUACGACGUAUAUUUGUGGGCAAUUAGAUUUAUAGCCACGAAUGAACUCCGUGGCCUUUUUGAUAUUUGCUACGACGUAUAUUCGUGGGCAAUUAGAUUUAUAGCCACGAAUGAACUUCGUGGAAAAAGGGUUAAAUUAGCUACGAUAUAUAUUUUCGUUGCAAAAGUAUUGAAUUAGCCACGAUUAAUUCUUAUAUCGAGAUUGCUAAUUGCCACGAAAGUAUUGUUAUUUAGUUACGAAAUAGCUUGUGGCGAUAGGAGGUAUUUUAUCACGAGUUCAAAUUUUGUGACAAAAGUUCCACAUUUUGCCACAAAAAUUUUUAGUUGUGGUUAUUUGCAAUCUGUGACGGGGCUACGCCCACGAUUGAGCCACGAGCUAUUUCUUGUGGUUAAAAGGCUUUCGCCCCGAAAUUUGAAGGUUUUUGCCACGAAGUGUCUUGUGGCAAUAACCCUAAUUUAUUCUAGUGAUGGGAGUUUCUUCUUAAUGAAGUACCAUAUGAGGCAUGAUUUCAGCCAUAUAACCUUCAGGAGGGUAGACUCUGAUUAGAGAUCCAUGGCCCUCAGAAGGGGGAAUGAAAUCAAAUUCCAUCCUUGGGGAGUUAUCCUGUGAACCCGCAGCAAUCGAUUUAACUUUACUGCACAUAGUGCACCCAUUUUGCAUAACACAUACCCUUUUCUUUUUCUUUUAACCCAAGAGAUCAUAAGCCUCCAAUAUUGAUAAAUCAAAGUACGGGUCGCUCGAGAAGGAGUUAGUUGGGGUGGAAUUUUCUCCUGAACCACCAACCUAAUAAGGUUUCUCUUUUUCCUUACGAAGAGAAAGAGUGGUCGGAGGUUUAAAGAUCGAUUUGGGUACGAUGGUCUCUUAUAGUGGUUUCACAUAUGAGUAAUCUUAUGAUGACUUGUGUUUUUUUCUUUUUCUCUUUUUAUUUUUUCUUAGUAUAAACUGCGGGGGAACUCGAAUAUAGGCACACCCACUCAGAGAGGCAACAAAAAAUGCCGCAACAUUUGUCUUUGUGGAAUGGCAACAAAAGGAAGAGAAAAAUAAUAAAGAAGGGUAGCAAUAACCAUCGUUAAUAACAACACUCAAUAAGGAGCCAACACGAUUAUUGAAAAGUUGUUAACCCUAAUGUUCCGCUAGCUUGAUAAAAUGGAAGAAAAUUGGAUGGAAUGCAAAGAAGAAGAGAUGAAUGAGAUAUCUCUAAGGAAGAGAUUGUGUACUUCGUUUUUUUUGUUUAGUUGGAUUGAAGAGAAGAAAAUAAGAUAAUACCUUCCUUUUUUUUUCUGCAUAAGAGAAGGGAAGAGAAAAUGUUAAUUAUAAGGAAAGUUUUGUAAUUUAAAAAUAUUUAUAAUAGUCUUGUUUUUUUUUUCCUUUGUGUCUUCCAUCUAUAUUUGGAGGGAAGAAAAUUUGUAAAAGACAUAUGAAGAAUGACUCGUCUAUUA
This is a long non-coding RNA of Cornus florida, 4401 nucleotides long. RefSeq lists it as uncharacterized. The record is from RefSeq and is a predicted model, not a curated record. Lineage: Eukaryota; Viridiplantae; Streptophyta; Magnoliopsida; Cornales; Cornaceae. The transcript is spliced from 2 exons.